This 235-nucleotide ribosomal RNA is filed under the name uncultured bacterium. RNAcentral describes it as "partial 16S ribosomal RNA". It matches the Rfam family "Bacterial small subunit ribosomal RNA", at positions 96 to 334 of the family's 1533-position model. The record is from RNAcentral.
UGGCGGACGGGUGAGUAAUGUCUGGGAAACUGCCUGAUGGAGGGGGAUAACUACUGGAAACGGUAGCUAAUACCGCAUAACGUCGCAAGACCAAAGAGGGGGACCUUAGGGCCUCUUGCCAUCGGAUGUGCCCAGAUGGGAUUAGCUAGUAGGUGGGGUAACGGCUCACCUAGGCGACGAUCCCUGGCUGGUCUGAGAGGAUGACCAGCCACACUGGAACUGAGACACGGUCCAG